GUGGGAUGCUGCCUAGAGUCCCUGUGGAUCUACAGGGGACACCAUCACCUCAGAAGAAGGUCUUGUUUUGGUGGACAUGGCCACUGGGGGACCAGAUGUUUCUUUUUUUGUGACAGGGUCUCACUCUGUCACCCAGACUGGAGUGCAUUGGUGCAAUCUCGGCUCACCACAACCUUCACUUCCCAGGCUCAAGUGAUUCUCCUGCCUCAGUCUCCCAAGUAGCUGGGAUUACAGGCACCUGCCACCACACCCAGCUAAUUUUUGUAUUUUUAGUAGAGGUGGGGUUUCACCCUGCUGGAUAGGCUGGUCUUGAACUCCUGAUCUCAAAUGAUCCACCCGCCUGGGCCUCCCAAAAUGCUGGGAUUACAGGCGUGGGCCACUGCGCCCGGCCAACCAGACGUUUCUUAAGAUUCAUCCUAAUUCUGAGGUUUGACCACUCCUUGGCUUGACAUUCAAGGCUUUCCACAAUCCAGUCCCAGCUCCCAACUCCCUGGGGGGCCAUCUUCCCACUGUGAGCAAGGACAGCAGAGGGGAGGCAGAAGGAUAGUCUUUGAACCCAAAGAGUUAAAAGAUCGUCAUAUUCCUUGCUACAUCAAUGACACCUGACACAACAUAAGUGCUCAAUUUCUGGUAUUGGAAUGAAAUAAUACAAUAAAAUCCAGG
This 663-nucleotide long non-coding RNA is filed under the name Homo sapiens (human). RNAcentral describes it as "HSALNT0276452". Lineage: Eukaryota; Metazoa; Chordata; Mammalia; Primates; Hominidae. The record is from RNAcentral.